GCGUGCUCUCUGCACUUCACCUCUGAUGUGGUGCAAAUGAAUGUCUGCAUGCAAAUCUUGCACUGCAAACCAACAUCAGACGCAAACAAUCACAAACCAAAAGCAAAAGUAGAGGAAAUUUUAUGGGGGAAAAGAAGGAGCCAAGCCCAGAACGGUACCUGGAUCGUCAUGGCUUUCUUGUUUGAUUCAAGCUGACUUCCUGCACACAGAUCGGACAAUACCCAGGUGAAAACGAAAACAUGACUAUUACUAUAUAGAUCUCGAGUAAAAAGAAGAUUGAACAAAGGUUUAAGAAAAUUUCAACUAAUCAAAGAAGAAAAUCCCG
This 325-nucleotide unclassified non-coding RNA is filed under the name Hevea brasiliensis (rubber tree). Lineage: Eukaryota; Viridiplantae; Streptophyta; Magnoliopsida; Malpighiales; Euphorbiaceae. The record is from RNAcentral.